UGGGGAAUUUUGGACAAUGGGCGAAAGCCUGAUCCAGCAAUGCCGCGUGUGUGAAGAAGGCCUUCGGGUUGUAAAGCACUUUUGUCCGGAAAGAAAUCCUUGGCUCUAAUACAGUCGGGGGAUGACGGUACCGGAAGAAUAAGCACCGGCUAACUACGUGCCAGCAGCCGCGGUAAUACGUAGGGUGCAAGCGUUAAUCGGAAUUACUGGGCGUAAAGCGUGCGCAGGCGGUUUGCUAAGACCGAUGUGAAAUCCCCGGGCUCAACCUGGGAACUGCAUUGGUGACUGGCAGGCUAGAGUAUGGCAGAGGGGGGUAGAAUUCCACGUGUAGCAGUGAAAUGCGUAGAGAUGUGGAGGAAUACCGAUGGCGAAGGCAGCCCCCUGGGCCAAUACUGACGCUCAUGCACGAAAAGCGUGGGGGAGCAAAACAGGAUUAGAUACCCUGGUAGUCCACGCCCUAAAACGAUGUCAACUAGUUGUUGGGGAUUCAUUUCCUUAGUAACGUAGCUAACGCGUGAAGUUGACCGCCUGGGGAGUACGGUCGCAAGAUUAAAACUCAAAGGAAUUGAC
Molecule: ribosomal RNA, 570 nt
Filed under: uncultured bacterium
Lineage: Bacteria
Description: partial 16S ribosomal RNA
Rfam family: Bacterial small subunit ribosomal RNA
Source: RNAcentral